GAGGUUAUUUUUGGGGUCUGGGAAUGCUCAAAAUUUUUUCCAUGCACAUUAAUGGUAAUUGCUUUUUUGCCAUUUCAGCUUAUGAAAGGUUUCAGAGGAACCCACAUUUUGAAGAGAAAGUCACUAGGAUUUGCUGACAGAAUGGAUAUGAGGUGUGGUUCCAAGGCUUUUUGGCCAGAGCCAUGGGAAAGGCUGAUAACCAGGAGCUUGAAGUCUUUUAUGUGCUCAGCGGUUUGACAAUAUUGACAAAAAGAGGGCUAGACUCAUUUUUCCACAUCCAAAAAGUGGCUCGGGAAGAAAGCCCGCUGUAGCCUGGACCCUCUGAACGGCUCCGAUUGAGGAAUAAGCAUUGGUAGGCCUGGAGAGAAUGGAGACAGUCAAACAUGCCUUCCGACCAGUCCCAUCCCUACUGAGUGGUUCCCGCCCGCCCGCUCGCGCGCUCUCUUCCUCUCGCUCCCUCCCUCCCUCCCUCCCUCUCUCUUUCAUCUUUUCAUUUUUAAUGAAUAUGAGUAAAAUCCCUCUAGAAC
RNAcentral lists this long non-coding RNA (527 nucleotides) under Mustela putorius furo (domestic ferret). RNAcentral describes it as "lncRNA (ENSMPUG00000031763.1)". The record is from RNAcentral. Lineage: Eukaryota; Metazoa; Chordata; Mammalia; Carnivora; Mustelidae.